UCCGGUUUGUCACCGGCAGUCUCAUUAGAGUGCCCAACUAAAUGUAGCAACUAAUGACAAGGGUUGCGCUCGUUGCGGGACUUAACCCAACAUCUCACGACACGAGCUGACGACAGCCAUGCAGCACCUGUCUCUGCGCCCCUUGCGGGGACCGUGCAUCUCUGCACGUAGCACAGGAUGUCAAACCCUGGUAAGGUUCUGCGCGUUGCGUCGAAUUAAACCACAUGCUCCACCGCUUGUGCGGGCCCCCGUCAAUUCUUUUGAGUUUCACCCUUGCGAGCGUACUCCCCAGGUGGCAUACUCAACGCGUUAGCUGCGCCACCGAAGAGCAAGCUCCCCGACGGCUAGCACCCAUAGUUUACGGCGUGGACUAC
This 374-nucleotide unclassified non-coding RNA is filed under the name uncultured Pseudomonadota bacterium. RNAcentral describes it as "uncultured proteobacterium contains 16S-23S intergenic spacer region". Lineage: Bacteria; Pseudomonadati; Pseudomonadota. The record is from RNAcentral.